Molecule: ribosomal RNA, 549 nt
Filed under: uncultured bacterium
Lineage: Bacteria
Description: bacterial SSU rRNA
Rfam family: Bacterial small subunit ribosomal RNA
Source: RNAcentral
AGGGAAUCUUCCGCAAUGGGCGAAAGCCUGACGGAGCAACGCCGCGUGAGUGAUGAAGGUCUUCGGAUCGUAAAACUCUGUUAUUAGGGAAGAACAAAUGUGUAAGUAACUAUGCACGUCUUGACGGUACCUAAUCAGAAAGCCACGGCUAACUACGUGCCAGCAGCCGCGGUAAUACGUAGGUGGCAAGCGUUAUCCGGAAUUAUUGGGCGUAAAGCGCGCGUAGGCGGUUUUUUAAGUCUGAUGUGAAAGCCCACGGCUCAACCGUGGAGGGUCAUUGGAAACUGGAAAACUUGAGUGCAGAAGAGGAAAGUGGAAUUCCAUGUGUAGCGGUGAAAUGCGCAGAGAUAUGGAGGAACACCAGUGGCGAAGGCGACUUUCUGGUCUGUAACUGACGCUGAUGUGCGAAAGCGUGGGGAUCAAACAGGAUUAGAUACCCUGGUAGUCCACGCCGUAAACGAUGAGUGCUAAGUGUUAGGGGGGUUCCGCCCCUUAGUGCUGCAGCUAACGCAUUAAGCACUCCGCCUGGGGAGUACGACCGCAAGGUUG